This is a non-coding RNA of Octopus sinensis (East Asian common octopus), 73 nucleotides long. Lineage: Eukaryota; Metazoa; Mollusca; Cephalopoda; Octopoda; Octopodidae. The record is from the annotation of a RefSeq genome assembly.
GCCCAUAUGGCGCAACGGUUAGCGCGUGUGGCUGUUAACCACAAGGUUCUUGGUUCGAAUCCGAGUAUGGGCG